This is a long non-coding RNA of Hydra vulgaris (swiftwater hydra), 468 nucleotides long. RefSeq lists it as uncharacterized. NCBI's taxonomy places the organism in Eukaryota, Metazoa, Cnidaria, Hydrozoa, Anthoathecata, Hydridae. The record is from RefSeq and is a predicted model, not a curated record.
AUUGUUUUUAGAAAAAGUUUGAUCAGUUCACUAAAAGAUUUUGAACGUAAACCUUAUUUCUAGCAGUCCAACAUUGUAAAAAGGCUAUAUAUAAUCUGAUAGCAAUAUAUGAAGGAUCACACUCUCUAUUUUCUGAAAUCAUCUGCGUGCACUUCAAUUGCAGGAUAUAUGAUCGCCUAUGGAAUCAAUUAGAGUUAAUUGGAAAUGAGCAAGUUGUGCUGAUGUAGGAGUCACUGCAUACUCUAUAUGUAGAUACAUUCAUACGUAUAUGGUUGGCUAUAAUAUGGAAAGUUUAAAAAGUUAAAAUCCACAAAGCAUAAAGUAUAAAUAUGGAAUCUGGAAGCACUGAAAAAGCAUUGUAUUGAAUCUGGAUACUAUGUAGAGAGAAAAAUAAACACAAGAUACGAUCAUAAUGUUAAUAGACUACUGGUGUUGAUUCUAAGGUAAAAACAAAUUUUUCAAAGCAGC